Molecule: long non-coding RNA, 371 nt
Filed under: Panax ginseng (ginseng)
Lineage: Eukaryota; Viridiplantae; Streptophyta; Magnoliopsida; Apiales; Araliaceae
Description: long non-coding RNA (PGIN_LNC003291)
Source: RNAcentral
UGACGUCAACUCAAGAAACAUUCGAGGGGGUCUUCUUCACGCUGCACCCUAACACUCACUUUUUUUUCUGUUGCUUGCCACAAUCCUUUCUUUGGUUCCAGCGGUUCAAACUCGAUAGAGCGGUCGCUAGCGAGUCCCGUCCCAAGCGAAUGAAGGAAGCACGGACAAUAGACUGGGGAGGAUAUCUCAUACUAAAUACUAAAGAAAGAGCUCUCUCUUAUGCAAUAGUAAGCAUCACAGUAGCAAUCGUAGGGCGCAAACGUUUGGUUUAGUCUUAGGCCCAAUUCAGCAUUAAUCGGGUAUUUUAAGCUAAGCGUAUUGUUGUAACAAGGCCAGGAAUUCUUCAUAGAGUUGGUGUGCUUUUUAAGNNN